UGUGACCUGGAGAGACGAGGAAGGAAGUAGCUCAGUGGGGGCUUCUGGUCAGAGGGAGGUGACUCCCAGCACGCUCCGGAGACCCCGAACGCACUGAGGAGCAUGCUGGGAAGGGGUGGCCGGGGCUUGAGAAACAUGUGUAUGUAUGUACAUGCGUGUGCGCACGUCCCUACGGAUGUCUAGGCGUGUGUGUAUGCGUGUGUGUAUGCGUGUGCAGACCGCAGCUCAUCUUCAGGAAGGGGAAGCUCUGAAUCUUAGAAUCACAGAUUCAAAGGCGUCCUCGGGACCAGCAAAUGGGGAAACCGAGGCCCAGAUGGGGAAGUCCUUCCAGGAUCCCACAGUAAACUGGAUGGCCGAUUCAAAGGACUGAAUAAUGGCCAACCGAUAACACACAGAAGGGACAUCGUUCAAGUUUGCCCCGAGACCCUCCCUGGCUGAGUGCCCCCUGCUCAAGUCAAGUCACUUCACUCAGUCUGAAAAAUGGAGAAGGAAAUAGCCAACCUCUCUCAUAGCUUUGCCCAGAAAAAACCCUCAAAAGGGGUCACAAGAGGAGGUCACCAGUGAAAUGACCGAGCAACAAGAAGCGGGGAACAUUCUGGGGCAGCGUUCUAGCUAACAUCCCGUAUUUGCUGGUUACACUGGGGGAUGGCUGCCUGGGAACGCGAGCUCCACGGGACAAACCGAAGGGAGUCCCCCUCACAAACAAUAAUAACGAACCCGGGCUUAAAAGAACCCGGGGCUUCAAAGAGGGCCCAGCUUUUCUGCCAAUCAAAGAGUGCCACCCCUGGGCGCCAAGCUGGACUUGCACAAAGAUCCGGCUUUGUCUAAAUCAGGUCAUGGAUAUAGUUGGCUGCUAACUGUAAGGACUGGGGCUUGUUCUGCCUUCUCAACUAUCAGUGCAGGGGAGGAGCGCAGAGAAAAUCAGAAGGGAGCGACGGAUGAAUGGAAGAACAGAGGGAUGGAGGGAGGAGGGAGAAAAAUAUGGAUGAAAAGAGGGCUGGAGGAUUAAUCAAUGGAGGGAGAGGGAAGGAUGAAUGGAAGAAUAGGAGGGAGAAAAAUAUAGAUGAAGAGAGGAUCGGGGAUUAAUGAGUGGAGGGAGAAGGAAAGAUGAAUAGAAUAGAGGGAUGGAGGGGAAGAGGAAUAGAGAAAAAUAUGGAUGAAGAGAGCAGGAAAAUUAAUGAAUGGAGGGAGAGGGGAGGAUGAAUGGAGAAUAGAGAGACAGAUGGAAAAGAAUAGAGAAAAGUAUGGAUGAAGGAAGAGAUGGCAGGAUUAAUAGAAUGGAAAAUGGAGCGAUGUUGGGAUGUUGGGAGGAUGUUAGUAUGCUGAGAGCUGGAGGAGACAGGGAAUAGAAAAAGUGACAAAGCCUCACUGUGUCCUGGCAAGAUCAUGGGCUCGUCAGGUUCUUUAAGAGUGGAAGAAAAAGCCAAAUAAAAGAGGGCAGAAGAGCGCCACUAGAUCAGCCUCCAGUUCUGGCCCCGUGUGCCUCUGGGUAGCACCGACUCCCUACUUUGUCAUCUUCUCUUUGCACUGCUUCAGUUGCCUCUUAUCCAUGUCCUGCUUUCUAGGUUCUACACUUUCUAAGCAUUCUAACGGUUGUCAAGUUCAGCAUCUUCAGUUCUAGGAGCAGCUAAGUGGUGCAGCGAAUGGAGCACCGGCCCAGAAGCCCUGAGUUCCAGUCCAGCUCAGACACUGGACACUUACUAGCUGGGUGACCCUGGGCAAGUCACAUAACCCUGAUUGUCUCCCAAAACAACAACAACAAAACACACACACACACACACACACACACAGAGAAGUUCUCACAGCAUCCCUCCCCCUUCACGAGUCUUCAGUGGCUCCUGACUGACUGCCUUUGGGCAACGACAAGCCCCAAACUCCCUGGCUUAGGAGUGAAGGCCUCUCACAAUCCAGUGCCUUCUCGUGCCUCUUUCUUAUCACUCUCCUCUGGCCAAACUGGUCUGACACCUGGUUCCUUAAGCUGAUCUGUCAUGUCUAGCCCCUGUAACCUUGUACAAGCCCUUCUCCCUGGAAGGCAAUGCACUCCCUCCUCUUGAGAAUCCUAAAUGUCCUUUAAGGAGACCCGAGUUCAAAUCUAGCUGUGACCUGGAACCAGACACGGAUCACCUCCUUCUCCAUGUGCAGCUGCUCUGCAAUCAGCAGGAUCUCCUCUGAGCUCGCCCCGGGCCUCCUCUCUCCGCCCCCCUCAGCACCGCGGACAGCGGCGGGCGCUCUGCGCAGCCGCCCCGGGCCGCCGCCCCGCUCCCACACCC
Antechinus flavipes (yellow-footed antechinus) is the source of this 2270-nucleotide long non-coding RNA. RefSeq lists it as uncharacterized. NCBI's taxonomy places the organism in Eukaryota, Metazoa, Chordata, Mammalia, Dasyuromorphia, Dasyuridae. The record is from RefSeq and is a predicted model, not a curated record. The transcript has 3 exons.